Molecule: long non-coding RNA, 1862 nt
Filed under: Triticum aestivum (bread wheat)
Lineage: Eukaryota; Viridiplantae; Streptophyta; Magnoliopsida; Poales; Poaceae
Description: long non-coding RNA (TAES_LNC004814)
Source: RNAcentral
UUUUUUUUUUUUGGUUUGUUAGGUUUCGAGAAUGAUAUUGUUGACUUGUUUGAUAUAUAGGUAAUAGGUUUUGCGGUCUAGAGUUAUACUUAAAUAAACUAACAAAAGUGUUAUUUUAUUCCAAAUUGUGAACUAUAUGUACUUGCAAUUUGAUUCCAUUGAUAUAUACAAUAGACUUCUACAAUGUUAUAUAUGAUUGGUUGGUUUUGGCUUCUUCUCGCCUCCCUCAUGCUCAAAUCCUGGCUCCGCCCCUGAUGAGCAUCCUCGCACCGCUUCCCGGCAGAGAGCUCAAGCUGUGCGUCAGUUUUUACGCCGACGACGCACUCAUCUUCGCAAAACCUGACAGACAAGAAAUCGACAAGCUGCUACAGAUUUUGAAACAGUUUGGGGACACCUCGGAACACACGUAGCUCCGAGGUGCCGCAUCGGUCUGUCGCGUGCUUCUACAGUUUCUUUGGCUUUUCAGUUUUUCGUUUUCCUCAGUUUUCAGUCUGAGCCUGAACCCCAACCCAUGAUAGUUUGAUCAUGGCGAUUUGUUUUCCCGCCCUCUAUCUGCUAUACUAGUAACAUUGAAAGCCAGCGGUUGCUUGAUCUCUGUAAAAUAAAAAGUCAUAUUUAUACUAGUCCAGCAAAGAAUCUUGUCCUGGCAAUAGAGUCCUGCGAGUAUAUUUCUGUCCGCAAUGGACACGAUUGAGAUGACGCUCGCUGCAGCAAGGCGUCGGACCUUUGGGUCUGCGCCAUCCCCUCUCGAUUGGAUGUCCCCGGUCAAUUCCUGAGGCAGAUAAACACGUCGCUCUGCUUUUUGGCAUCUUUCACGAGCAAAGCCCGGCAAAUUUGAUAAAUUUGACCUGAGGACGAAAUCAAAAUCACAGAAUAAACUGUCCGUGAAACUAUUUCACGCAGCUGACCUUUUUGUGUGACGCCCGACACGAAGGCGCCACAUUACACUGUGCAACGCCUCACAGAUAGGCGUUACUGUGAGGCGUUGCACAGUGUAGUGUGGCGCCUUCGUGUCGGACGUCACACAAAAAAGUCAGCCGCGUCAUUCUGUAAUUUGAUUUCAUCCAUAGAUCAAAUUUGUCGAUUUUGCUGCAAAGCCCGCCCGUCGUCGUCUACAGGCCGGGGCCGGGGCUGGCAGAAGGGACAGGACAAGAAGCACGCAGCGCCUGAGAUUUCACUCGGCGGACCGGGGUUUCUGUGAGUUGGACGAGGUGCUGCACGCUGCCACUUUCGGCACCAAAGUAUAAAAGCGCAGCCGCCCCGAUUCCGGCGUACGUACGCACCGUGGCUGCAGCUCCGGCCACUGCCACCCAACAUCGGUAUGCUGCAUCGGCUUCUCCAAGGCAUCGCUGCGUCACGGGUUACGACAGAGGCAGCACUCAGCUCAGCCGAUGCAUGUAAUACCAUCUCCUUGCGUCGUCUCUUCCGCCCGACGCGCCCAUGCACCGCGACGCGAGGCGCACAUCCAGUUAUCCACCGCUCUAUCUACACAACACCGUAGGCAUCGGCGCACGUCCCAGGUUCAGUAAUAGUACAUGGCAUAUAGUAAGUGGCAAAGGUUCAGUGCAUGCUAGCAUUGAAAAUCUCCUACGUCGUGGCAUGCAUGCAUGCAUGCACGUCAAAGAGUCUCACAUUGCGGCAAAAUUGUCGGCACCUCCCAGACAAGUUAAGGCGCCAACCAUGCAACGACAUGCAUCGCACCCCCACCCUCGCAUCGCAGGGGUCGGCCGAUCACAACACGGCCUCCCCCUCAAGCUUUAUCAUCGGUCCUCCUGCACCACCGUGCAUGUGGGCAUGUUGCCCUAGCUAGCUACCUACUACGUCCCUGCGCUGCGUGCUAUGCUAGCCACUCACUCACUCAG